UGCCUACGGGGGGCAGCAGUGAGGAAUAUUGGUCAAUGGGCGGGAGCCUGAACCAGCCAAGUCGCGUGAGGGACGACGGUCCUAUGGAUUGUAAACCUCUUUUGUCGGGGAACAAAGGCGCCCACGGGUGGGCGGAUGAGUGUACCCGAAGAAAAAGCAUCGGCUAACUCCGUGCCAGCAGCCGCGGUAAUACGGAGGAUGCGAGCGUUAUCCGGAUUUAUUGGGCGUAAAGCGAGUGCAGGCGGUUCAAUAAGUCUGAUGUGAAAGCCUUCGGC
RNAcentral lists this ribosomal RNA (275 nucleotides) under uncultured bacterium. Its description in RNAcentral is "partial 16S ribosomal RNA". It matches the Rfam family "Bacterial small subunit ribosomal RNA", at positions 335 to 608 of the family's 1533-position model. The record is from RNAcentral.